UUCAAUUUUAACAAGUUCUUCCUGCAAAUGAGCAUUUCCUGAGACUAUCAGAGCACCUGAGAACAGCUCCAUCAGCCACGUCAAAUGCUUCACAGCGGCAGUCAAUUACAUUCGAGCAUAUUUAAGAUGAGCAGAGUCAGACGUUAGUUUUCUCUCCACUCGCUUCAGGUGAAGCAGUUCAGAAACUUAUGGCCACCGGCUGCUGUUUGCCCCAGGAAAGAGCUUAAAAGCAGAACAACCUCUUCCCCAAAUAACGACCAUAUGUAAAGCACUGCGCAGCAGAUCCGUCCUGCAAACUGCUUAGCGCUCUCAGGGGUGCAGUAAGUUGUGCCAGCGUGUUUCCGCUGCGCAACCCGGAAAACAAACUUUCCCAACUGCUUACGGGCUAUAUUUAUAUAUUUUUUUAAAGGAAGCUUUUCUGCCAUCUUCAGUUGAAAUCUAAGCUACAAGUUGAAGAUCAGCCCCCAGCCAACAGCACAUCUUCUCGAAACAAAUGAUUGUUUUCCUCACUCGACAAAGCAAUAAUGAGACAAGAAACCAGAUCCUGGGCAUACAGUUCUAAGGAACAUCAAACAAGAAAAAUACAACCAAGUUCUUCCGCCAUGGAGCAGAUCCCCACAAAAUCCAGCUGCAGAGCAGGGCCAUGGCUUAUCUCUCCAUGCCUUCACCAUUGGAGUGUUCCCAGAGUGGUUCAUGAAAACCCAUAA
RNAcentral lists this long non-coding RNA (707 nucleotides) under Coturnix japonica (Japanese quail). RNAcentral describes it as "lncRNA (ENSCJPG00005020627.1)". The record is from RNAcentral. Lineage: Eukaryota; Metazoa; Chordata; Aves; Galliformes; Phasianidae.